Molecule: ribosomal RNA, 587 nt
Filed under: uncultured bacterium
Lineage: Bacteria
Description: bacterial SSU rRNA
Rfam family: Bacterial small subunit ribosomal RNA
Source: RNAcentral
CGGAAACAUGUCUAGCUUGCUAGAUGAUGUCGAGUGGCGGACGGGUGAGUAAUACUUAGGAACAUGCCUUUGGGUGGGGGAUAACUAUUGGAAACGACUGCUAAUACCGCAUAACGUCUACGGACCAAAGGGGGGGAUCUUCGCCCCUCCCGCCAUGUGCUUAGCCCAAGUGAGAUUAUGUAGUGGGAAAGGUUAUGGCUUACCAAGGCGACGAUCUCUACCUGGAUUGAGAGGAUGAUCAGCCACACUGGGACUGAGACACGACUCCAGACUCCUACGGGAGGCAGCAAAGGGGAAUAUUGCACAAUGACCCGAAAGCCUGAUGCAGCCAUGCCGCGUGUGUGAAGAAGGCCUUCGGGUUGUAAAGCACUUUCAGUAAGGAGGAAAGGGUAGUCGUUAAUAGCGGCUGUCUGUGACGUUACUUACAGAAGAAGCUCCGUCUAACUUCGUGCCAGCAGCCGCGGUAAUACGAGGAGUGCAAGCGUUAAUCGGAAUUACUGGGCGUAAAGCGUUCGUAGGCGGUUGAAUAAUGUGAAUGUGAAAGCCUAGGGCUCAACCUUGGAACUGCAUUUUGAACUGUUCAACUA